RNAcentral lists this ribosomal RNA (468 nucleotides) under uncultured bacterium. RNAcentral describes it as "partial 16S ribosomal RNA". It matches the Rfam family "Bacterial small subunit ribosomal RNA", at positions 28 to 507 of the family's 1533-position model. The record is from RNAcentral.
GACGAACGUUGGCGGCGGGCUUAACACAUGCAAGUCGAACGGAAAGGCCCUGCUUUUGUGGGGUGCUCGAGUGGCGAACGGGGGAGUAACACGUGAGUAACCUGCCCUUGACUUUGGGAUAACUUCAGGAAACUGGGGCUAAUACCGGAUAGGAGCUCCUGCUGCAUGGUGGGGGUUGGAAAGUUUCGGCGGUUGGGGAUGGACUCGCGGCUUAUCAGCUUGUUGGUGGGGUAGUGGCUUACCAAGGCUUGGACGGGUAGCCGGCCUGAGAGGGUGACCGGCCACAUUGGGACUGAGCUACGGCCCAGACUCCUACGGGAGGCAGCAGUGGGGAAUAUUGCACAAUGGGCGGAAGCCUGAUGCAGCAACGCCGCGUGCGGGAUGACGGCCUUCGGGUUGUAAACCGCUUUCGCCUGUGACGAAGCGUGAGUGACGGUAAUGGGUAAAGAAGCACCGGCUAACUACGUG